AACGAACGCUGGCGGCAGGCCUAACACAUGCAAGUCGAACGAGAAGCCACCUUCGGGUGGUGGACAGUGGCAGACGGGUGAGUAACGCGUGGGAACGUGCCUUUCGGUUCGGGAUAACCCAGGGAAACUUGGGCUAAUACCGGAUACGCCCUCCGGGGGAAAGGAUUCAUUGCCGAAAGAAUCGGCCCGCGUCGGAUUAGCUAGUUGGUGGGGUAAAAGGCCUACCAAGGCGACGAUCCGUAGCUGGUCUGAGAGGANGACCAGCCACACUGGGACUGAGACACGCCCAGACUCCUACGGGAGGCAGCAGUGGGGAAGUAUUGGACAAUGGGCGAAAGCCUGAUCCAGCGACGCCGCGUGGGUGAAGAAGGCCUGCGGGUUGUAAAGCCC
RNAcentral lists this ribosomal RNA (390 nucleotides) under uncultured bacterium. RNAcentral describes it as "bacterial SSU rRNA". It matches the Rfam family "Bacterial small subunit ribosomal RNA", at positions 29 to 433 of the family's 1533-position model. The record is from RNAcentral.